CCGGGGCUGCCAUGGCCCGCUCGUGCCGCCAGAGGGAGCCUCGGGCCCGCGGGAAGCGGCAGCGCCCGGGGAGGGGCGGGAGGGAGCCCGGCCCGGCCCUGUCCCCGUCGGGUCACCGCCGCUGUCCCCUCCCCAUCCUGUCCUCGUCCCCUUCCUGCCAAGCCCUGAGUGCGGCUGGGCCGGUUUCUGGGGGUGCUGGGCCGAUUUUAGGGGGGUGUGAAGCCAGCCCUGACCCUCGGGAUGGGAUAUUCCAGCCAGCUCCUUCUGCACCCCAAAUCCACCCCAAAUCCUUCCCUGGGGCAGGGAAGGGGCUGUGUCCCUGUCCCCCCUCCCCGGGGAAAGGCAUCACUCCUCCUUUAUUAACAACAUUUAAAGCCGAGUGGGCGCCUAAAUCAACAAAAAUUAUUCAUGAGAGUCGUUAGCUGCUCAAA
Long non-coding RNA from Passer montanus (Eurasian tree sparrow), 431 nucleotides. RefSeq lists it as uncharacterized. The transcript is spliced from 2 exons. The record is from RefSeq and is a predicted model, not a curated record. NCBI's taxonomy places the organism in Eukaryota, Metazoa, Chordata, Aves, Passeriformes, Passeridae.